This 253-nucleotide ribosomal RNA is filed under the name uncultured bacterium. Its description in RNAcentral is "partial 16S ribosomal RNA". It matches the Rfam family "Bacterial small subunit ribosomal RNA", at positions 524 to 776 of the family's 1533-position model. The record is from RNAcentral.
UACGGAGGGUGCAAGCGUUAUCCGGAUUUACUGGGUUUAAAGGGUGCGCAGGCGGAUAUGUAAGUCAGUGGUGAAAUCUCCGGGCUUAACCCGGAAACUGCCGUUGAUACUAUAUAUCUUGAAUGCUGUGGAGGUAAGCAGAACACGUCAUGUAGCGGUGAAAUGCUUAGAGAUGACAUAGAAUACCUAUUGCGAAGGCAGCUUACUACGCAGAUAUUGACGCUCAUGCACGAAAGCGUGGGGAUCAAACAGG